Molecule: ribosomal RNA, 983 nt
Filed under: Subtercola sp.
Lineage: Bacteria; Bacillati; Actinomycetota; Actinomycetes; Micrococcales; Microbacteriaceae
Description: bacterial SSU rRNA
Rfam family: Bacterial small subunit ribosomal RNA
Source: RNAcentral
UGCAAGUCGAACGAUGANAGGAGCUUGCUUCUUGGAUUAGUGGCGAACGGGUGAGUAACACGUGAGUAACCUGCCCUUGACUCUGGGAUAAGCGUUGGAAACGACGUCUAAUACCGGAUACGACAACCGAUCGCAUGGUCUGGUUGUGGAAAGAUUUUUUGGUCAAGGAUGGACUCGCGGCCUAUCAGGUUGUUGGUGAGGUAAUGGCUCACCAAGCCUACGACGGGUAGCCGGCCUGAGAGGGUGACCGGCCACACUGGGACUGAGACACGGCCCAGACUCCUACGGGAGGCAGCAGUGGGGAAUAUUGCACAAUGGGCGAAAGCCUGAUGCAGCAACGCCGCGUGAGGGAUGACGGCCUUCGGGUUGUAAACCUCUUUUAGUAAGGAAGAAGAACUUCGGUUUGACGGUACUUGCAGAAAAAGCACCGGCUAACUACGUGCCAGCAGCCGCGGUAAUACGUAGGGUGCAAGCGUUGUCCGGAAUUAUUGGGCGUAAAGAGCUCGUAGGCGGUUUGUCGCGUCUGCUGUGAAAUCUGGAGGCUCAACCUCCAGCCUGCAGUGGGUACGGGCAGACUAGAGUGCGGUAGGGGAGAUUGGAAUUCCUGGUGUAGCGGUGGAAUGCGCAGAUAUCAGGAGGAACACCGAUGGCGAAGGCAGAUCUCUGGGCCGUAACUGACGCUGAGGAGCGAAAGCAUGGGGAGCGAACAGGAUUAGAUACCCUGGUAGUCCAUGCCGUAAACGUUGGGAACUAGAUGUAGGGGCCAUUCCACGGUUUCUGUGUCGCAGCUAACGCAUUAAGUUCCCCGCCUGGGGAGUACGGCCGCAAGGCUAAAACUCAAAGGAAUUGACGGGGGCCCGCACAAGCGGCGGAGCAUGCGGAUUAAUUCGAUGCAACGCGAAGAACCUUACCAAGGCUUGACAUAUACCGGAAACCUGCAGAAAUGUGGGCCCCGCAAGGUCGGUAUACAGGUGGUGCAUGGU